Molecule: ribosomal RNA, 425 nt
Filed under: uncultured bacterium
Lineage: Bacteria
Description: partial 16S ribosomal RNA
Rfam family: Bacterial small subunit ribosomal RNA
Source: RNAcentral
GUGGGGAAUCUUGCGCAAUGGGCGAAAGCCUGACGCAGCCAUGCCGCGUGAAUGAUGAAGGUCUUAGGAUUGUAAAAUUCUUUCACCGGGGACGAUAAUGACGGUACCCGGAGAAGAAGCUCCGGCUAACUUCGUGCCAGCAGCCGCGGUAAUACGAAGGGGGCUAGCGUUGCUCGGAAUUACUGGGCGUAAAGGGCGCGUAGGCGGACAGCUUAGUCAGAGGUGAAAGCCCAGGGCUCAACCUUGGAAUUGCCUUUGAUACUGGCUGUCUUGAGUUGAGGAGAGGUGAGUGGAACUCCGAGUGUAGAGGUGAAAUUCGUAGAUAUUCGGAAGAACACCAGUGGCGAAGGCGACUCACUGGCCCAAUACUGACGCUGAGGCGCGAAAGCGUGGGGAGCAAACAGGAUUAGAAACCCCAGUAGUCC